Molecule: ribosomal RNA, 512 nt
Filed under: uncultured bacterium
Lineage: Bacteria
Description: bacterial SSU rRNA
Rfam family: Bacterial small subunit ribosomal RNA
Source: RNAcentral
CGCUGGCGGCGUGCCUAAUACAUGCAAGUCGAACGCACUCUCGUUUAGAUUGAAGGAGCUUGCUCUGAUUGAUAACAUUUGAGUGAGUGGCGGACGGGUGAGUAACACGUGGGUAACCUGCCCUAAAGUGGGGGAUAACAUUUGGAAACAGAUGCUAAUACCGCAUAAAACCUAACACCGCAUGGUGUAGGGUUGAAAGAUGGUUUCGGCUAUCACUUUAGGAUGGACCCGCGGUGCAUUAGUUAGUUGGUGAGGUAAAGGCUCACCAAGACCGUGAUGCAUAGCCGACCUGAGAGGGUAAUCGGCCACACUGGGACUGAGACACGGCCCAGACUCCUACGGGAGGCAGCAGUAGGGAAUCUUCCACAAUGGACGAAAGUCUGAUGGAGCAACGCCGCGUGAGUGAAGAAGGUUUUCGGAUCGUAAAACUCUGUUGUUGGAGAAGAAUGUAUCUGAUAGUAACUGAUCAGGUAGUGACGGUAUCCGACCAGAAAGCCACGGCUAACUACGUG